GUACCGUACAAACGUUAUUCGGAAUCACUGGGCUUAAAGGGUGCGUAGGCGGUGCGGUCAGUUGGGUGUGAAAUCCCUCGGCUCAACCGAGGAACUGCGCCCAAUACUGCCGCACUCGAGGGAGACAGAGGUAAGCGGAACUGAUGGUGGAGCGGUGAAAUGCGUUGAUAUCAUCAGGAACACCAGUAGCGAAGGCGGCUUACUGGGUCUCUUCUGACGCUGAGGCACGAAAGCUAGGGGUAGCGAACGGGAUUAGAUACCCCGGUAGUCCUAGCUGUAAACGAUGAGCACUUGGUCGGAGACUCCUCCAUAGGUUUCCGGUCGUAGCGAAAGUGUUAAGUGCUCCGCCUGGGGAGUAUGGUCGCAAGGCUG
RNAcentral lists this ribosomal RNA (372 nucleotides) under uncultured organism. Its description in RNAcentral is "partial 16S ribosomal RNA". It matches the Rfam family "Bacterial small subunit ribosomal RNA", at positions 527 to 896 of the family's 1533-position model. The record is from RNAcentral.